UUGGCAACAGUAGUAGUAUUGUUGUUAGGACAUCAAAACAGUUAAGCAGCCAAUAAUUAGUUACUUUGAGUGCACAGUAUGCUGUUUGAACGAACUUAUUUAUUCCUCUUUGCCUUCAGCAAUUCUGUAUAGAUUCUCCUGGAAUUCAUUGGCAGGUGGGCAGUUAAAAAAUGACGAUUUUUGUACUUGGUUGACAGAGCUUACUAUGUGCAAGUGUGUUUGAUGGUUACAAUAGUUCCGUCGUUUCACAUACUUUCAAAUGUUAACUAGUGCGUUUGCAAAAUUCCAUUUUUUAACUGCCCACCUGCUAAU
Molecule: small RNA, 312 nt
Filed under: Spisula solidissima (Atlantic surf clam)
Lineage: Eukaryota; Metazoa; Mollusca; Bivalvia; Venerida; Mactridae
Description: cnRNA101
Source: RNAcentral